AUGACGAUAUCGCUGCCGGCGACGGCGGCGGCUCUGUCCGUCGUCCUCGCCGCGCUCUGCCUCCUCGUGGUCCCGGCCGCCGGGUUCUACCUCCCGGGCGUCGCGCCCAACGACUUCGAAAAGAAAGACCAUCUCCCUGUGAAAGUCAAUAAACUGACUUCAAUUAAGACACAACUUCCCUACUCCUUCUACUCUCUCCCAUUCUGUAAGCCAGAUACGAUCGUUGACAGUGCUGAAAAUCUGGGUGAAGUUCUCCGUGGGGAUCGCAUUGAGAACUCUCCAUAUGUGUUUGAAAUGAGGGUACCUCAGAUGUGUCAAAUAGUCUGCAAGAUUUCAGUUGGGGAAAAAGAAGGAAAGGUUCUCAAGGAAAAGAUUGAAGAUGAGUACCGCGUGAACAUGAUUCUUGACAACCUACCUCUAGUUGUUCCUAUUCAAAGAGUGGAUCAAGAAGGUGCUUAUUUCUAUCAACAUGGGUUCCAUGUUGGAGCCAAAGGACAAUACUCAGGGAGUAAGGAUGAAAAGUACUUCAUCCACAAUCAUUUGUCCUUUACGGUGAAAUAUCACAGGGAUGCACAAAGGGAUGUUUCUAGGAUAGUGGCCUUUGAAGUAAAACCCUACAGUGUGAAGCACGAAUAUGGACAGUGGAAUGACAGGAAGACUCAUCUGACCACUUGCGAUCCGAAUGCGAAACGUAUAAUUACAUCAUCUGAUUCUCCUCUGGAGGUUGAAGCUGGCAAAGACAUUGUCUUCACAUACGAUGUGGAUUUCAAGGAGAGUGAUAUCAAGUGGGCAUCUCGCUGGGAUAGUUAUCUGCUGAUGACAGAUGAUCAAAUCCAUUGGUUCUCCAUUGUAAAUUCUCUCAUGAUCGUUCUCUUCCUUUCCGGAAUGGUUGCAAUGAUCAUGCUUCGAACCCUUUAUCGGGAUAUCUCCAAGUAUAACCAGCUUGAGACUCAGGAGGAAGCCCAAGAAGAAACUGGAUGGAAGCUUGUUCAUGGUGAUGUUUUCAGGCCGCCUGCCAACUCUGAUUGGCUCUGUGUUUAUGUUGGUACAGGUGUCCAGUUUUUUGGCAUGAUGCUUGUCACGAUGGUCUUUGCAGUCCUUGGCUUCCUUUCUCCAUCCAACAGAGGUGGACUGAUGACAGCUAUGCUCUUGCUUUGGGUUUUCAUGGGUUUGCUUGCUGGCUACUCUUCUUCACGUCUUUACAAGUUGUUCAAGGGCUCAGAGUGGAAGAACAUUGCCUUGAGGACAGCAUUCACCUUCCCUGGCAGUGUGUUCACUGUUUUCUUCUUCUUGAAUAUUCUUAUCUGGGGGCAGAAGUCCUCUGGUGCAGUUCCAUUCACCACAAUGUUUGCCCUUGUCCUCCUUUGGUUUGGUAUCUCGGUGCCUUUAGUGUUUGUUGGGAGUUACCUUGGUUUCAAGAAACCAGCCAUUGAAGACCCAGUGAAAACAAACAAGAUUCCCAGGCAGGUACCUGAGCAAGCCUGGUACAUGAACUCAAUCUUUUCGAUUCUAAUUGGAGGGAUCCUUCCAUUUGGAGCUGUGUUCAUUGAGCUCUUCUUUAUCCUGACCUCCAUCUGGCUGCACCAAUUCUACUACAUCUUUGGGUUCCUCUUCCUUGUCUUCCUGAUUCUAAUCGUCACAUGUGCCGAGAUCUCGAUUGUGCUCUGCUACUUCCAGCUAUGCAGUGAGGAUUACCUGUGGUGGUGGAGAUCAUACUUGACAUCAGGAUCUUCUGCCCUGUACCUCUUCCUGUAUGCGACUUUCUACUUCUACACAAAGCUGGAGAUCACAAAGUUUGUGUCAGCCAUCCUUUACUUCGGCUACAUGCUCAUCGCCUCAUAUGCGUUCUUUGCCUUGACGGGUACAAUUGGAUUCUAUGCCUGUUUAAUGUUCACUAGGCUGAUUUACUCGUCUGUGAAGAUUGAGUAA
RNAcentral lists this ribosomal RNA (1929 nucleotides) under Triticum aestivum (bread wheat). RNAcentral describes it as "partial small subunit ribosomal RNA". Lineage: Eukaryota; Viridiplantae; Streptophyta; Magnoliopsida; Poales; Poaceae. The record is from RNAcentral.